UCAAACUUGGUCAUUUAGAGGAAGUACAAGUCGUAACAAGGUUUCCGUAGGUGAACCUGCGGAAGGAUCAUUAACAAAUCGUGUAAUUUUGUGUGUUGCGUAUAUGUGAUGAGUGUAUUAUCACACAUAUAUUAUAUACAUGCAUAUAUACAUAUAUGUGCUCCAAGCGAGAUUGUCUUGGUUGCAUCAAUAUAUAUACGUAUUAUUGUAUUGUGUUGUAUCAUGUAAAAUAGAAUUUUAAGAAUACUUUUAACAAUGGAUCUCUUGGCUCUUGCAUCGAUGAAGAACGCAGC
RNAcentral lists this unclassified non-coding RNA (293 nucleotides) under uncultured fungus. RNAcentral describes it as "partial contains small subunit ribosomal RNA, internal transcribed spacer 1, and 5.8S ribosomal RNA". The stretch from base 1 to 73 matches the Rfam family "Eukaryotic small subunit ribosomal RNA", at positions 1759 to 1831 of the family's 1831-position model. Lineage: Eukaryota; Fungi. The record is from RNAcentral.